UACGUAGGGUGCGAGCGUUGUCCGGAAUUACUGGGCGUAAAGAGCUCGUAGGUGGUUUGUCGCGUUGUUCGUGAAAACUCACAGCUUAACUGUGGGCGUGCGGUCGAUACGGGCAUCACUGGAGUCCGGAAGAGGCGAGUGGAAUUCCCGGUGUAGCGGUGAAAUGCGCAGAUAUUGGGAGGAACACCAGUGGCGAAGGCGGCUACCUGGACCGGAACUGACGCUGAUGCGCGAAAGCGUCGGGUAGCAAAGAGG
RNAcentral lists this ribosomal RNA (255 nucleotides) under uncultured bacterium. RNAcentral's name for it is "partial 16S ribosomal RNA". It matches the Rfam family "Bacterial small subunit ribosomal RNA", at positions 524 to 776 of the family's 1533-position model. The record is from RNAcentral.